Clupea harengus (Atlantic herring) is the source of this 2734-nucleotide long non-coding RNA. Lineage: Eukaryota; Metazoa; Chordata; Actinopteri; Clupeiformes; Clupeidae. The record is from Ensembl.
GAGUUCCGUGCCAAUUAGCUGUGUGCUUUCAUGUUUUCCUGCUCUGCCUUGCUUUUUGUAUUGUUGCUUUGCCAGUGUUCGGUUCAUCAGUUUUUUGUUCGUUUUUGCCUUGGAUCUUCUGUGCGUUAACCUUGUGAAUAAAUCCUGAAUUCUUCCCUACAUAUGGUCUGCAAUUGGGUCUCUGCCUUACGAAUCGUGACAAGAACUGCCCACCGGAAACACGGAACAUGGGGUAAAAACAACAUGGGGACACAUUUUCAUUCAUGCUUUCAUAACAAUAAAGUAACAGGUGUCGUGUAUUCCCACCUGACUGUAUUUAACGGGACGCUAAGGAGUGCUAACCUCAAUGACAGGUGCAAAACAUGCUAGGUCUCAUACCAAUCAACCUAGGUAGCUAGCUCUGAAGUAUCCUAGCUAUCUCUAACUUAGGGAACCAUCUUAGGCAGCAGCUAGCAUGUGUUAAUAUGAACUCGUGUUGAUACGUGUGAAAAUUAACUUGUGUUAAUAUGAAGCUGCACAGGAACCCUGAGGGAUUCUACCUUUUCCUAUCAUAAUUUUAUAAAUCGAGGUUAAAUUGAGGUGACUGAACCCGAGACUACAGUGAAGAUAAAGGUGAAAAUGCAGGGUAGACCGUCCUUGGAGUCUCCUGAGCUGGACUUGCAGAGUCCAAACUCCCAAGAACAGCAGACCAUAGCUGACGUACUCCGUAUUGAGAAAUGCCCUUGAUCUCACUUGAAAACAGCCCUGAAAGAGGUCCUACAGGGGUGGUUCCUGUGGAACAUACACAAAGGAUCCAGAGAUGCCGAAACACCCUCCAGUUUGAAAGAAGAAGAAAGUCAUUCUAAGUCUGACAUUUGAAGCUAGAAAAGGAAUACAUUUCUGUGAGAUAUGAACCUGUUCUCUUUACUGAAUAAUUCUCUUUCUACAAAACGCUUUCUGGAGCUUGAACUCCAUUAUGCAUAUGGCACAUGUCAACAUUUGUAUGUAUAAAUGUUUUGUGAACUUGUUUGUGAACUGUAUAUACAUUUACAUAUUUAUGUACUCCUUCUUUUGUGAACUGUAUAUGAAUUUGCACUUGCUAUUAUCUUAAUCUCAAAUCACCAAAGGUGUUUUUGGAGAAAAAAAGGAGCAGCAUUUGAUGAAAAGUACCCCUUAGGCAUGUGGGUGAAUAUAUUCUGGUUUGGGAUUUUUCUACCAGCGAGUAGCACAGGAAGCAUAUAAAUGAAGGGACGAAUGGAUUACACUAAUUUUCAGCAAUGUCAGAAGGCAAAUGUCAUGCAGUCAGUCAAGAAACUGAAGCCUACAAGUUGUUGGUUUUCACAACAGGAUUCAAAGUAUACCUCCAAAUACACAAUCAAGUACUUCAAGAAAUGCUUCAAGAAACAGUUGCUUUUUGAAUGCCCUGCAGUCCCCAAACUGUUUGAAAAUCUGUUUCCCCAAAAUGUUUGAAAAUCUGUUGGUAAACUGAAACAUGAUGCAUAUGCAAUAUGUAUAUGUAUCUCAGAACAGUGAUGUGAUGUGCAAGGAAGAGUGGGUGAAAUCUCAUAAAAUCAAGAAUUAAGAGACUUUUAGUGCCCAACAGAAAUCAUUUGCGAGCUGUGAUAUCUGCUUAAGGAGUCUUACUAAGUGCUGAUUCAGUAGGGUGUUCAAACCUUUGCCCAGGCCCCAAUGUCAUCUUAUGUGUAGCGCCAUCGUUUGUUAUUCAAGUGGCCAAACCCGGGGACUGCAUCAGAACACGAACAACGGUCUGGAUUUGGAAAAGUUAAACGUAGAGAACCUUUGGUAUUGAGGAAAAGCUUGUACAGAAAAUGAGCUUUGUGAGUGACCAAAGGGCCCUGACUGCCAUGAUGCCAUUAAAUGAAAAGGGAAAAAGUGAAGAGUGAACACUAAAGAUGCAGAGAGAAGGAAAAGAAGAGAGUAUAGCCAUGUCUACCCGCCAUUCCAGUUUGCCCUGUUUGACCGCAUCUAUCCACUGUGUUUCACCCAGCUGUGGCUUUGGAGAGAAGCAAGUACUCAGCCAUAUAGAGCCUGAGGGAGGCUUGAAUUGAACUUGAAUGUGGACUUUGAUGCCUACCAAGAGUUGUAUGAAACUAUUCCUGGGAUCUUCAUUGUUCACAAGUUUUCUUCUUCAGUUUCACAAUGAACGCUGUUUUUGUCAUGAAGAUAGACUGUUAAAAUGAGGUAAUAAUGUAAGGGACGGGAUGGUGUUCAUGAUUAUGAUGAUUAUAAUUAUGCUGUUGCUGAUGCUGAUGAUUAGGAUGGUGUUGAAGCACUAAGGAUGUCCAUGAAAAACAAAACCUCUUCAUGCCCCGAUGAGACUGUAUUAAUCGGUGGCACAUGUUCAUCCAUAAUUACCAUUACAGCCAUUAUGCUCACAUAUUCCCCAUUCCACGUGGGUAAAUAUGCCAAGAGCACCAAAACAUCUGCUGCACAUUGUAUUCAGUGCACAUAGCUGACAGUGAUGUAAUCCUCUUCGCUGCCAUUAUAACACAUGUGAUAUAACCUUGUUGAUAAAAUGCGUCCUUUUUGUAAAAAAUCUACACGAGGAGCAGAGAAAUAAAUGUCCCUGAUGGAACAGAGAGAGACACCUGUGGAGAAAGAAAGAGAGAUACGAGGCCGAUAACCAGGAGGCUACAGCAGGCAGUGCACGGGAAAGCAUCAGCACGGAUAAUCUUGCGGUCACAAAAUAUCGGAAAUGUGUGAUGCAUGGUCCGUUUUUCAAGGAUGGGAAAUG